UCGUCGUCGUCGAUGUUGUUGUGUCGCUGUCUCCAAUAAUGGUCUUACACUCUUGCUACUUAAAAGAGAGGAAUAGACAAAGUAAUUGAGGAAAAUGUGUACUGAAGGAGAUGAUAACUCAACAUGAGAUACAAAAAUGAGCAAGACGUGAAGUGAAUUGAAAUAUCGCAACGCAGAGUGUUUUUUAGGUAAAGUACAGAACUCUACCAUAACAUUAGGCGGAUUCAGAAGGAAAAGAAGUUCGAUUGGUUUGCCUCGAGAUGACAAUUGAGUGCUGAAUCAAAGAAGUUCC
RNAcentral lists this long non-coding RNA (292 nucleotides) under Eucalyptus grandis. RNAcentral's name for it is "long non-coding RNA (EGRA_LNC007379)". Lineage: Eukaryota; Viridiplantae; Streptophyta; Magnoliopsida; Myrtales; Myrtaceae. The record is from RNAcentral.